GGUUAAGUGACUAAGCGUACACGGUGGAUGCCUUGGCAGUCAGAGGCGAUGAAAGACGUAGUAACUUGCGAUAAGCCCAGAUUAGGUAGUAACAACCAUUUGAGUCUGGGAUUUCUGAAUGGGGAAACCCACGUGCAUAAGCACGUAUCCUUACCUGAAUACAUAGGGUAAGGAGGCGAACCGGGGGAACUGAAACAUCUAAGUACCCCGAGGAAAAGAAAUCAACCGAGAUUCCGAAAGUAGCGGCGAGCGAAAUUGGACUAGCCCUUAAGCUUUACACGCGUUAGACGAACGGUCUGGAAAGUCCGACGAUACAGGGUGAUAGUCCCGUAGUUGACGACGUGUGUUCAGUGAAAUCGAGUAGGGCGGGACACGUGAUAUCCUGUCUGAAUAUGGGGGGACCAUCCUCCAAGGCUAAAUACUACUGACUGACCGAUAGUGAACCAGUACCGUGAGGGAAAGGCGAAAAGAACCCCUGUGAGGGGAGUGAAAUAGAACCUGAAACCGUGUACGUACAAGCAGUAGGAGCAGGCUUUGUCCUGUGACUGCGUACCUUUUGUAUAAUGGGUCAGCGACUUAUAUUCAGUGGCAAGGUUAACCAUCUAGGGGAGCCGUAGGGAAACCGAGUCUUAACUGGGCGUUCAGUCUCUGGAUAUAGACCCGAAACCAGGUGAUCUAGCCAUGGGCAGGUUGAAGGUUGAGUAACAUCAACUGGAGGACCGAACCGACUAAUGUUGAAAAAUUAGCGGAUGACUUGUGGCUAGGGGUGAAAGGCCAAUCAAACCUGGAGAUAGCUGGUUCUCCCCGAAAGCUAUUUAGGUAGCGCCUCGGACGAAUACUACUGGGGGUAGAGCACUGUUAAGGCUAGGGGGUCAUCCCGACUUACCAACCCUUUGCAAACUCCGAAUACCAGUAAGUACUAUCCGGGAGACACACGGCGGGUGCUAACGUCCGUCGUGGAGAGGGAAACAACCCAGACCGCCAGCUAAGGUCCCAAAUUACUACUAAGUGGGAAACGAUGUGGGAAGGCUCAGACAGCCAGGAUGUUGGCUUAGAAGCAGCCAUCAUUUAAAGAAAGCGUAAUAGCUCACUGGUCGAGUCGGCCUGCGCGGAAGAUGUAACGGGGCUAAGUAGUAAACCGAAGCUGCGGCAAUAUACUUUUGUAUAUUGGGUAGGGGAGCGUUCUGUAAGCGGUUGAAGGUGUGUGGUAACGCAUGCUGGACGUAUCAGAAGUGCGAAUGCUGACAUGAGUAACGAUAAAGGGGGUGAAAAACCUCCUCGCCGGAAGACCAAGGGUUCCUGUCCAACGUUAAUCGGGGCAGGGUAAGUCGACCCCUAAGGCGAGGCCGAAAGGCGUAGUCGAUGGGAAACGGGUUAAUAUUCCCGUACUUCUUACAAUUGCGAUGGGGGGACGGAGAAGGCUAGGUGGGCCUGGCGACGGUUGUCCAGGUUCAAGUGCGUAGGCUUAAGAGUUAGGUAAAUCCGGCUCUUUUUAAGGCUGAGACACGACGUCGAGCACCUACGGGUGUGAAGUCAUUGAUGCCAUGCUUCCAGGAAAAGCCUCUAAGCUUCAGAUUGUAAGGAAUCGUACCCCAAACCGACACAGGUGGUCGGGUAGAGAAUACCAAGGCGCUUGAGAGAACUCGGGUGAAGGAACUAGGCAAAAUGGUACCGUAACUUCGGGAGAAGGUACGCUCUCGACGGUGAAGUCCCUUGCGGAUGGAGCUAUUGAGAGUCGCAGAUACCAGGUGGCUGCAACUGUUUAUUAAAAACACAGCACUGUGCAAAAUCGUAAGAUGACGUAUACGGUGUGACGCCUGCCCGGUGCCGGAAGGUUAAUUGAUGGGGUUAGACUUCGGUCGAAGCUCUUGAUCGAAGCCCCGGUAAACGGCGGCCGUAACUAUAACGGUCCUAAGGUAGCGAAAUUCCUUGUCGGGUAAGUUCCGACCUGCACGAAUGGCGUAAUGAUGGCCACGCUGUCUCCACCCGAGACUCAGUGAAAUUGAAAUCGCUGUGAAGAUGCAGUGUACCCGCGGCUAGACGGAAAGACCCCGUGAACCUUUACUACAGCUUGGCACUGAACAUUGACCCUACAUGUGUAGGAUAGGUGGGAGGCUUUGAAGCACGUACGCCAGUAUGUGUGGAGCCGUCCUUGAAAUACCACCCUUGUAGUGUUGAUGUUCUAACGUUGACCCCUAAUCGGGGUUGCGGACAGUGCCUGGUGGGUAGUUUGACUGGGGCGGUCUCCUCCCAAAGAGUAACGGAGGAGCACGAAGGUGGGCUAAUCACGGUUGGACAUCGUGAGGUUAGUGCAAUGGCAUAAGCCCGCUUGACUGCGAGAAUGACAAUUCGAGCAGGUGCGAAAGCAGGUCAUAGUGAUCCGGUGGUUCUGAAUGGAAGGGCCAUCGCUCAACGGAUAAAAGGUACUCCGGGGAUAACAGGCUGAUACCGCCCAAGAGUUCAUAUCGACGGCGGUGUUUGGCACCUCGAUGUCGGCUCAUCACAUCCUGGGGCUGAAGUCGGUCCCAAGGGUAUGGCUGUUCGCCAUUUAAAGUGGUACGCGAGCCUGGGUUUAGAACGUCGUGAGACAGUUCGGUCCCUAUCUGCCGUGGGCGUUGGAAGAUUGAAGGGGGCUGCUCCUAGUACGAGAGGACCGGAGUGGACGAACCUCUGGUGUUCGGGUUGUGUCGCCAGACGCAUUGCCCGGUAGCUAAGUUCGGAAUCGAUAACCGCUGAAAGCAUCUAAGCGGGAAGCGAGCCCUGAGAUGAGUCUUCCCUGAUACUUUAAGUAUCCUAAAGGGUUGUCGGAGACUACGACGUUGAUAGGUCAGGUGUGUAAGUGCUGUGAGGCAUUGAGCUAACUGAUACUAAUUGCCCGUGAGGCUUAACCAU
RNAcentral lists this ribosomal RNA (2892 nucleotides) under Vibrio parahaemolyticus. Its description in RNAcentral is "23S ribosomal RNA". It matches the Rfam family "Bacterial large subunit ribosomal RNA". Lineage: Bacteria; Pseudomonadati; Pseudomonadota; Gammaproteobacteria; Vibrionales; Vibrionaceae. The record is from RNAcentral.